Angiostrongylus costaricensis is the source of this 75-nucleotide non-coding RNA. The record is from Rfam. Lineage: Eukaryota; Metazoa; Nematoda; Chromadorea; Rhabditida; Metastrongylidae.
GGCCUCGUCGGCUCAGUUGGUAGAGCGAUAGACUUUUAAUCAAACGGUGAGGUGUUCGAGUCCCCGGCGGGGCUG